ACUCCUACGGGAGGCAGCAGUGGGGAAUAUUGCACAAUGGGGGAAACCCUGAUGCAGCCAUGCCGCGUGUGUGAAGAAGGCCUUCGGGUUGUAAAGCACUUUCAGUAGGGAGGAAGGUAGUGUAGUUAACACCUGCACUAUUUGACGUUACCUACAGAAGAAGCACCGGCUAACUCCGUGCCAGCAGCCGCGGUAAUACGGAGGGUGCGAGCGUUAAUCGGAAUUACUGGGCGUAAAGCGCAUGCAGGCGGCCUGUUAAGUCAGAUGUGAAAGCCCGGGGCUUAACCGUCGGAAUUGCAUUUGAAACUGGCAGGCUAGAGUCUUGUAGAGGGGUUAGAAUUUCAGGUGUAGCGGUGAAAUGCGUAGAGAUCUGAAGGAAUACCAGUGGCGAAGGCGGCCCCUGGCAAAGACUGACGCUCAGAUGCGAAAGCGUGGGAGCAAACAGGAUUAGAUACCCCUGGUAGACUGUCA
This 471-nucleotide ribosomal RNA is filed under the name uncultured bacterium. RNAcentral's name for it is "bacterial SSU rRNA". It matches the Rfam family "Bacterial small subunit ribosomal RNA", at positions 335 to 802 of the family's 1533-position model. The record is from RNAcentral.